CCCCCCAGGAAGGACAAGAGCAACUUUAUCAACAGGGAGAAAGAAAGACCUAAACUUCAAUAUACAAAAAGUGGAUAAAUGAAGGAAAAUCAAAUUUGAGGGAGAAAAGAUAUCAGCCAACUGUUACUGGCUCUUAGGGAGAAGAACAUGUGAUUUGACAGAUACGUUUCCCUGACGAGAAGAGUCAAGCUGUUUAGAGAAUGAAGAACUUUAUCAGAGGCUCAUUGUGGAGCACCAAAAUAGUUCAGUUCUGCACCAUCUUGGCCCUUCUCCUGCUCAGUUCUCUCUGGAAUCUAGGCAAGUGGGGUAAGACUUCCAUAACCUACAUUCCCACACUUUUAGUCAGACCUACACUCACCUGUUUGUGCAACAUCACCUUAUCUUGCAGUGUAUUUCAAUGGGCAGAGCUGGAAUGCAUCAGAAUUGGGUUCAGUUUCGUACUCUGACCUGGGCUCCACAGAAAAUGCUAAAGAAAUCAAGUAGCCUGAAGACAUAAAAUGGGGAUAAUAAUAAUUCCCUCCAUUACAGGUAAGGGUCUCAGGAUAAUUUAUGGUAGAGACUAUGAAUAACCAUAUAUGACCAAAAAUGGAGCAUAUCAAAGCACAGAUAUGUAUUGUCAUCAGACAGGGGAACAGAUUCAGAGACAAGAGCUUGAAAACUACCUACCCAUGCUGUAGUCAUUAAAGCCAUCCUGAAGGCAGGCAAGGGCAAAAUUCCAUGUGCUCCUGAUGUUUUGGCUUUUUGUGCCUCUUGAAUUUGAAACAAGUUGUGGAAGCUACAAGGCACCAGAAGCAGUGUCCUUUGCCCAGUAUGACCAGAACAAUCCUGCCCCAUGUUGUCUGUGCCAAGAAGGAAAGGUCAGGUCUGACAUGUGACCCUUUUCUAAUGUCAGUGGCAGGGGCCCAUGGGAAAAAUUAACAGCUUAAAAGAUAUUCCUUGUCAAAAAACAUUCCUCUGAGGAGAGGAAUAUGGAAGUGCAGAGCAGAAUAUGGAAGUGAGGGAGAAAGCUUCAGUGUUGGGGAAAGACACCCUUCCUACAUUGAGCAGACUGUAAUAUUAAAAGAUUUCUUUUUACAUUAGUGAAAAAAUAUAGAGUAAUGUGUAAAAGUAAAGCCUGCCAAAUAUUGAGGCCAACUGAUUUCAAUAUAG
Molecule: long non-coding RNA, 1149 nt
Filed under: Zonotrichia albicollis (white-throated sparrow)
Lineage: Eukaryota; Metazoa; Chordata; Aves; Passeriformes; Passerellidae
Description: lncRNA (ENSZALG00000017275.1)
Source: RNAcentral